GACGAACGCUGGCGGCGUGCUUAACACAUGCAAGUCGAACGAAGAGCGACGGGAGCUUGCUUCUAUCAAUCUGAGUGGCGAACGGGUGAGUAACGCGUAACCAACCUGCCCUUCAGAGGGGGACAACAGUUGGAAACGACUGCUAAUACCGCAUACGAUCUAAUCUCGGCAUCGAGGAUGGAUGAAAGGCGGCCUCUACAUGUAAGCUAUCACUGAAGGAGGGGAUUGCGUCUGAUUAGCUAGUUGGAGGGGUAACGGCCCACCAAGGCGAUGAUCAGUAGCCGGUAUGCGAGGAUGGACGGCCACACUGGGACGGAGACACGGCCCAGACUGCUACGGGAAGGAGCAAUGGGGAAACUUGCGCAAUGGACGGAAGUCUGACGGAGCAACGCCGCGGGAGUGAUGACGGCCGUCGGGUUGGAAAGCUCUGUUUAUCGGGACGAAAGGCCUUCUUGCGAAUAGUGAGAAGGAUUGACGGUACCGGAAGAGAAAGCAACGGCUAACUACGUG
This 510-nucleotide ribosomal RNA is filed under the name uncultured bacterium. Its description in RNAcentral is "partial 16S ribosomal RNA". It matches the Rfam family "Bacterial small subunit ribosomal RNA", at positions 28 to 507 of the family's 1533-position model. The record is from RNAcentral.